AUUCCAGGAAAAUUGUUUUUUUUUUCCGGAGAGUAUGACUUCGCUUCCAUGGGAUGAUGAUCGGAAAUCGAAAAGAGCGAAGGUUGAUGAUUGUGAUGCUGAUCUAGACGAGCUGGGUUUAUCUGAGUCUGAGUCUGAGUCUGAGGAUGAGUCUGAGGAUGACCUCGAUCCAGUGGACAAAUUGUGUAAGG
Helianthus annuus (common sunflower) is the source of this 191-nucleotide long non-coding RNA. RefSeq lists it as uncharacterized. The transcript has 3 exons. Lineage: Eukaryota; Viridiplantae; Streptophyta; Magnoliopsida; Asterales; Asteraceae. The record is from RefSeq and is a predicted model, not a curated record.